Molecule: ribosomal RNA, 216 nt
Filed under: Glomeromycotina sp.
Lineage: Eukaryota; Fungi; Glomeromycota
Description: partial small subunit ribosomal RNA
Rfam family: Eukaryotic small subunit ribosomal RNA (bases 40-216)
Source: RNAcentral
GGGUCAGUAGGUUGGUCGUGCCACCGGUACGUACUGGUCUCACUGAUUCCUCCUUCCUGAAGAACCGUAAUGCCAUUAAUUUGGUGUUGCGGGGAAACAGGACUGUUACUUUGAGAAAAUUAGAGUGUUUAAAGCAAGCUAACGCUUGAAUACAUUAGCAUGGAAUAAUGAAAUAGGACGACCGAUCCUAUUUUGUUGGUUUCUAGGAUUGACGUA